RNAcentral lists this ribosomal RNA (497 nucleotides) under uncultured bacterium. RNAcentral's name for it is "partial 16S ribosomal RNA". It matches the Rfam family "Bacterial small subunit ribosomal RNA", at positions 28 to 507 of the family's 1533-position model. The record is from RNAcentral.
GAUGAACGCUGGCGGCGUGCCUAAUACAUGCAAGUCGAGCGAACGGACGAGAAGCUUGCUUCUCUGAUGUUAGCGGCGGACGGGUGAGUAACACGUGGAUAACCUACCUAUAAGACUGGGAUAACUUCGGGAAACCGUAGCUAAUACCGGAUAAUAUUUUGAACCGCAUGGUUCAAAAGUGAAAGACGGUCUUGCUGUCACUUAUAGAUGGAUCCGCGCUGCAUUAGCUAGUUGGUAAGGUAACGGCUUACCAAGGCAACGAUGCAUAGCCGACGUGUGAGGGUGAUCGGCCACACUGGAACUGAGACACGGUCCAUACGCCUACGGGAGGCAGCAGUAGGGAAUCUUCCGCAAUGGGCGAAAGCCUGACGGAGCGACGGCGCGUGAGUGAUGAAGGUCUUCGGAUCGUAAAACUCUGUUAUGAGGGAAGAACAUAUGUGUAAGUAACUGUGCACAUCUUGACGGUACCUAAUCAGAAAGCCACGGCUAACUACGUG